Long non-coding RNA from Homo sapiens (human), 2385 nucleotides. Ensembl annotates it as androgen receptor regulated long noncoding RNA 1. Its record names the gene ARLNC1. NCBI's taxonomy places the organism in Eukaryota, Metazoa, Chordata, Mammalia, Primates, Hominidae. The record is from Ensembl.
AGUUAUCCAUGAGAACAGGGUGAGAUUCCAGUGUUUCCUCCAGAAAGGCACAUUAUUCCUCCACCAUGGUCUUCUUUUUCCUGUGUACCUUGACCCUGUAGGAGAUGAGACUUCUAAAGUGAUUCCUUUCCCUCUUUUCUCCUCAUCACCCCUUCCCACUCUCUAAGAUUGGUAUCAUUGCUCAUGGUAGGUCUCCUGGAUCCAGCCCCAAGUCUCAUCUUUCCUCUUAUUUGUCCACCAUUUUGCUUGAUCCAUAUGGUUUUCAGGUGCUGGUUCCAUGGCUCUUCCUGAGCCGAAAAUAAGGAAACUCCAUAGACCUUGUCCACUGGAACUCGUUCCCAUCUACCCUCCACUCUAUCCAGGGUGAUGGAUCUCUGCAGUAAGUGGAAGAGUUCUUCAUGGCCCCCAAGGUUAUAUCCAUCUAGAACUUCAGCACGUAAUUUCAUCUGGAAAUAGUGCCUUUGCGGAUAUAAGUUAGGUAAAACUGAAGAUGAGAUCAUACUGGAUUAGGAUGGGAUCUAAAUCCAAUGAAAAUGUCUUCAUAAAAAACAGGAAAGAACCCAUAGAAACACAAGGAAGAAGGUCAUGUGAAGAUGGAGGCAGAGAUUGGAGGGAUGCAGCCACCGGCCCAGGAAUGCCAGCAGCCACCCAGAAGCUGGAAGGAAAUGAGGGAUUCUCUCCUAGAACCUUUAGAGAGAACAUGGUCCUGUGAACAGCUUGAUUUUGGACUUGCCCAUAGCUUGUAUACUCUUACUUUGGAUACAAUUUUAUCCAAACUUGGCUAAACAGUUUCUCAGCCUAUGGAAAAUUUAAAAUGGAGAAGAUUCAACUCGAUUCUUACAGAUUCAAAGCAAGAAAAUGAUGGGAACAUAGGAGGAGACCAAGAAAGCCUAUAAAAAGCAAAAAUAUGAAGUGAACAUUGUGGUAGCUUUAAGAUGUUUAGUGUAGCUGCAGGCACCCUAUACACAUGAAAACCCCCAAGGGGAAUCCCCAUAUCACAGUGUAGUGUGAUAUUUGACAUUCGUGAUCAUCUAGAGAUGUACAGAAAAGGUGAAUCUGUGUUCUGUAUAUUCUGCCUAAGGCAAAGAAAUGUUUAGCUCUCUUUAAAAUAGUUCCAUAAUUUUUUCUAAAAAGCUUUGCUUGAAAACUGUAAGCUUCCCAUAUCUGGAGCAUUUCACUUUAAAUAUUUGGAUAAAUAUGUUAUCUUCUUACUUGGACAUUUCAUGUGUUUAGGGAUUGUCUUCUAAAUUCUUCCUAAUUCAUAUAGCUGCUAACACUUCCCGCAGAGCUAAACCAUUACAGAUAUGAAAUAAAGACCUAUUGAUUUGACUUACUUUUACUUGUAAAACCUUCUGAGUGUUAUAACCUCAUUUAAUCUUUCAGCAUUUACAGUUUCAAGAGUUUGUGUCACAAUUAGAAGAAUUCAGCUGCACCUCCAAGUGACAGCAGUUGCUCUGGUUGGUGGGUGAUCUCAGGAGGCUUGAGAAUUGCUUUGUCUGUGAGGGAAGUAAGACAUUUUCAGAGCCCCACUUUAGAAGGUGUGAACUGGCUAGAUAAUGAACCCCAGGGCUAACGCUGCUAUAGCAGUGGGAAGGAGGUGAUGGGUUUUCAGUUUGGACCUCAAACAUCAAUACCCUCCUGGUACGGGGAGGAACAGAGUCCCUCCUUUACUUCUCCAUUAGAAAGAAUGAGAUGGCAAGACAAUGAAACAGGCAAAGUGAACAGAGAUGCAAGACAAAAUUCAGGUGAGAGAGCCAGAGCAUCACUCAGCCAUUCCUGACAUGUAAAACAGGCAACUAGAAAUUUGCAGAAAGGAAGCGAAGUCUCCAUAAAGAUGUUUUUAAAGUGAGCUUGAAGUAUUUGGAGACAAUUCAGUGUUACAUAAAAUCUGCAAAUCUCUGGAUAAAGAAGCAGAGAUCCCAGCAUGGGACAAAUGGAGCCUCAAAAGUGGGAAGAAGACAGAGAAGACCAGGGCAGAAUGCAUCUCUUCCUUUCUCUUGGCUUUCCUGGAUAAGGACUGCAUCAUUCCUGUGGAAGGACAGGCCAUCAGCUCCGAAACACUGUAUGUAUUUUCCAGUAUAUACUGCUAGCUGUGUGAUGUUGGGAAAAUUUGUUACCCUGUCUAACCCCCACUUCCCUCAUCUGUAAAAUGGAAAUAAUGAUAGUACCUACCUAUCUCAUAGGUGGCAACUACAAGGGGCAGCACACUCAGGGAAUUAAGGAAGUUUCAGUGAACAUCAACUUUAUGAACACAGUGUUCAUAAAGGCAGGUCAGUGCAGUGGUUUGGGAGCCAGGAGAAGCACGUGGGCCGGAGUGUGCCUGCAGGAGACAAGGUCAGAGAUGUUGCUAAUAAUGGAGAAUAAAGGAUGCAUUCUCAUUACUGA